CCUACGGGUGGCAGCAGUGGGGAAUAUUGGGCAAUGGAGGAAACUCUGACCCAGCAACGCCGCGUGAAUGAUGAAGGUCUUCGGAUUGUAAAGUUCUUUUCGAAGGGAAGAAGAAAGUGACGGAAGCGAAGGAAUAAGCAUGGGCUCACUACGGGCCAGCAGCCGCGGUAAGACGUAGGAGGCAAGCGUUAGCCGGAAUGACUGGGUGUAAAGGGGGCGUAGGUGGUUGGAGUAGUUGGUAGCGUAACUCCGUGGCUCACCCUCGGCAGUACUACCAAAACUGUCGGACUUGAGUGCAGGAGGGGCAACUGGAAUUCCUUGUGUAGCGGUGUAAUGCGUAGAUAUUAG
This 348-nucleotide ribosomal RNA is filed under the name uncultured bacterium. RNAcentral describes it as "partial 16S ribosomal RNA". It matches the Rfam family "Bacterial small subunit ribosomal RNA", at positions 338 to 700 of the family's 1533-position model. The record is from RNAcentral.